This 468-nucleotide ribosomal RNA is filed under the name uncultured bacterium. RNAcentral describes it as "partial 16S ribosomal RNA". It matches the Rfam family "Bacterial small subunit ribosomal RNA", at positions 28 to 507 of the family's 1533-position model. The record is from RNAcentral.
GACGAACGCUGGCGGCGCGCCUAACACAUGCAAGUCGAACGGAGUCAAGAGGAGCUUGCUUUUCUUGACUUAGUGGCGAACGGGUGAGUAACGCGUGAGUAACCUGCCCUGGAGUGGGGGACAACAGUUGGAAACGACUGCUAAUACCGCAUAAGCUCACGGAUCCGCAUGGAUCUGCGGGAAAAGGAUUUAUUCGCUUCAGGAUGGACUCGCGUCCAAUUAGCUAGUUGGUGAGGUAACGGCCCACCAAGGCGACGAUUGGUAGCCGGACUGAGAGGUUGACCGGCCACAUUGGGACUGAGACACGGCCCAGACUCCUACGGGAGGCAGCAGUGGGGGAUAUUGCACAAUGGGGGAAACCCUGAUGCAGCGGCGCCGCGUGGAGGAAGAAGGUUUUCGGAUUGUAAACUCCUGUCGUAAGGGACGAUAAUGACGGUACCUAACAAGAAAGCACCGGCUAACUACGUG